ACGGGGUUUAUUGACGGAACUCUUCGGAGGGAAGAUAUAUAAACCUAGUGGCGGACGGGUGAGUAACGCGUGGGCAACCUGCCCUGUACCGGGGGACAACAGCCAGAAAUGGCUGCUAAUACCGCAUAAGCCUGCUGUGCCGCAUGGCACAGCAGGGAAAACCACGGUGGUACAGGAUGGGCCCGCGUCUGAUUAGUUAGUUGGCAGGGUAACGGCCUACCAAGACAACGAUCAGUAGCCGGCUUGAGAGAGUGGACGGCCACAUUGGGACUGAGACACGGCCCAGACUCCUGCGGGAGGCAGCAGUGGGGAAUAUUGCACAAUGGGGGGAACCCUGAUGCAGCAAUGCCGCGUGGGUGAAGAAGCACUCCGGUGCGUAAAGCCCUGUCAGCAGGGAAGAAAAUGACAGUACCUGGACAAGAAGCCCCGGCUAACUACGUGCCAGCAGCCGCGGUAAUACGUAGGGGGCAAGCGUUAUCCGGAUUUACUGGGUGUAAAGGGAGCGCAGGCGGCGUGGCAAGUCAGAUGUGAAAACCCGGGGCCCAACCCCGGGAGUGCAUUUGAAACUGCCAUGCUGGAGUGCCGGAGAGGUAAGCGGAAUUCCUAGUGUAGCGGUGAAAUGCGUAAAUAUUAGGAGGAACACCAGUGGCGGAGGCGGCUUACUGGACGGUAACUGACGCUGAGGCUCGAAAGCGUGGGGAGCAAACAGGAUUAGAUACCCUGGUAGUCCACGCCGUAAA
RNAcentral lists this ribosomal RNA (740 nucleotides) under uncultured bacterium. Its description in RNAcentral is "bacterial SSU rRNA". It matches the Rfam family "Bacterial small subunit ribosomal RNA", at positions 42 to 806 of the family's 1533-position model. The record is from RNAcentral.